GGUGGAGGUGGCGGGGUGGAGGGGAGAUGACCCACCAGACAGCCGGGCUUGGCUGGAAUGGGGUGCUGCUGAUGAGGCGUCUAAGAAGACCCCGCCUCUGACCUUGGACCGUCCAGGACUCUUCCUUCGCGGACCCCAGCCUUCUACCCCCAUUUCCCCGCCUGGGUCUACAUCCAUCAAAUGCUCUCGACACCCUAUUUCCAAGCAACUUCUCUAGAACUUUUCUGUUCAUCGUCCCCCAACCGUGGCAGCGAGGGCGGGAGCUAGCGGGACACUCGCCCCGUGAAGAUCCAGUGAAGAACAAUUUUGCCUCUCUCGGCGCACCCCCAGCCCCCGACCCUCAAGCCACCAAGUCUCGGAAAACCCUCAGGCAAGGAAAGGCAACAGGAGGUGGGUGGGGGAGGGGCCCUUGAAGUUCGGAAACAGAUUCCUGGGAGAAUUUCUGGUUCUGAAGACCCAGAAAUGGCCAAUCAGAAACCGCAAAGAAUAGAGCUAAGGCAGAAUCCAGGGCCUUGAGCCGGGUAGAGUUCAUGUACAGGUACAAGAUCCCACUUUGGGUCAGCAGACCGCAGGAGGAGGCGACCAAGGAGUUCCCUGGAAUUCUGUGUUAGGCUGGCCAGAUCUGUGAAUCAAAGGGCGCUUCCUCCUGGACCUGAACUCAGACUCCAUUUGCACUCAGGCUCACAGCCACAGACCAACGACGCAACGGCAAGGAGGACCUUAUUCAAUCUUCUCUAAUCACGGGCAAUAAGUCGCCGGCGGGAUUUUUUUUUUUUUCCUGCGUCUUAUUGCCUAGGUUACAGAAAAGGUGGGUUUCUGAUUCCAAAACACUUCCAAGCUGAUUCUUGGCUGACUCCUUGCAUCCGGCCCAGGGAGUGUGUGCUGUGAAUGGUGUUGACUUAGCCACUCCCCUGUCCUUCCAAAUGAAUCUACUUAUCUUGGAGACUACUUAGAUUUGGAGACUAAACCACUCAACUGCAAGAACUGUGCAGCACCUGAUUCAGUGUGGGAAAGAGAAGAUACGCUCGGGGACUACUUAGUGGUGUCUUCUCAAAAGGGCUGUCCCACUGCACUUUUCAGCCAUGACAGUUCCUAUUUCCUAACAGUAGUACUCCUGGAUUUGGGCAGGCUGCUCCCCUCAAGAAGGAAAUCCCCUGCAAUUUCCCAGCACUGUCAUGAAGAAUGAAUGAAAUAAAUGGAGGAGGGAACUAGGACUCUGCAAGAAUCAAGGUCUUGGGGCUUUUCAUGCUACAUUUUUAUUGUGUCUUUUUUUAUUAUUAUUACUUUCCCUCUCCCCAUUCAAAUCCUCUUCCAUGUUUCCUAGGCCACCUUCAUGUCACUUUGAUGACUCCUCUUUGAU
Acinonyx jubatus (cheetah) is the source of this 1360-nucleotide long non-coding RNA. RefSeq lists it as uncharacterized. The transcript has 3 exons. Lineage: Eukaryota; Metazoa; Chordata; Mammalia; Carnivora; Felidae. The record is from RefSeq and is a predicted model, not a curated record.